GAUGAACGCUGGCGGCGUGCCUAAUACAUGCAAGUCGAGCGAACAGACGAGGAGCUUGCUCCUCUGACGUUAGCGGCGGACGGGUGAGUAACACGUGGAUAACCUACCUAUAAGACUGGGAUAACUUCGGGAAACCGGAGCUAAUACCGGAUAAUAUAUUGAACCGCAUGGUUCAAUAGUGAAAGACGGUUUUGCUGUCACUUAUAGAUGGAUCCGCGCCGCAUUAGCUAGUUGGUAAGGUAACGGCUUACCAAGGCAACGAUGCGUAGCCGACCUGAGAGGGUGAUCGGCCACACUGGAACUGAGACACGGUCCAGACUCCUACGGGAGGCAGCAGUAGGGAAUCUUCCGCAAUGGGCGAAAGCCUGACGGAGCAACGCCGCGUGAGUGAUGAAGGUCUUCGGAACGUAAAACUCUGUUAUUAGGGAAGAACAAAUGUGUAAGUAACUAUGCACGUCUUGACGGUACCUAAUCAGAAAGCCGCGGCUAACUACGUG
RNAcentral lists this ribosomal RNA (497 nucleotides) under uncultured bacterium. RNAcentral describes it as "partial 16S ribosomal RNA". It matches the Rfam family "Bacterial small subunit ribosomal RNA", at positions 28 to 507 of the family's 1533-position model. The record is from RNAcentral.